UUGCACCGACGUUGGUCGCCGGAGUUUGGUGAGAAGUCAGCCUGCUCGCUGCGAUUUUGGGGAAGCAAAACCUGCUGCCGCACCUGUUUUCGGAGCCGAAAUCGAAGGGUUUCGAAUGCGAAUUUGGAAUCGGUUCCUUCAGGAAACUCGUAGAGGACAUCGUAAACUAUAAGUGUCGAGCGUACUAAAGCUCUCACUCAAGGUUUAAGCUUAAAGAUGCACCUAUAGAACUAGCAUUGGACUCCAGGUGAGAAACUAUGACUCCUUAUCCAAUUUCUUUCCUGCGCAUAAUAUCUCCUUUGUUUGAACCGAAUAUUUUGUAUAUAUUGAAGCCUUCGAUACCUUGAUUAUAUUUGUUCUUGAAA
Non-coding RNA from Erythranthe guttata (spotted monkey flower), 365 nucleotides. NCBI's taxonomy places the organism in Eukaryota, Viridiplantae, Streptophyta, Magnoliopsida, Lamiales, Phrymaceae. The record is from RefSeq and is a predicted model, not a curated record.